GGAACAAACUGCUGGAGCCAACAUGU
This 26-nucleotide non-coding RNA is filed under the name Rattus norvegicus (Norway rat). The record is from RNAcentral. Lineage: Eukaryota; Metazoa; Chordata; Mammalia; Rodentia; Muridae.